Molecule: transfer RNA, 64 nt
Filed under: Nototeredo knoxi
Lineage: Eukaryota; Metazoa; Mollusca; Bivalvia; Myida; Teredinidae
Description: tRNA-Arg
Source: RNAcentral
AAGGCGGUAGUAUAAUAAGUAUACAUGGUUUCGGCCCAUACGGUGAGUUGUUUCUCCUGCCUUU